RNAcentral lists this long non-coding RNA (3819 nucleotides) under Sus scrofa (pig). RNAcentral describes it as "lncRNA (multiple genes)". Lineage: Eukaryota; Metazoa; Chordata; Mammalia; Artiodactyla; Suidae. The record is from RNAcentral.
UGUGUCUUUUUGCUAUUUCUUUGGGCCGCUCCCGCGGCAUAUGGAGGUUCCCAGGCUAGGGGUCCAAUCGGAGCUGUAGCCACUGGCCUACGCCAGAGCCACAGUAAUGUGGGAUCCAAGCUGCGUCUGCAACCUACACCACAGCUCACGGCAACGCCGGAUCGUUAACCCACUGAGCAAGGGCAGGGACCGAACCUGCAACCUCAUGGUUCCUAGUUGGAUUCGUUAACCACUGCGCCACGACAGGAACUCCUCUCCUUCCUUUUUAAGGCUAAGUAGUACUCCCUGGUAUGUAUGGAUGAUGUCUGGCUUACCCAUUCGCCUGUUGGUGCAUGACUGGCCCGUGAGCACUUUUGGUUACAGUGAACAGUGCUGCUGUGAACACGAGGUGCAGCAGAAAUGAAUCCAACUAGCAUCCAUGAGGAUGCAGGUUCAAUCCCUGGCCUUGCUCAGUGGGUUAAGGAUCCAGCAUUGCCAUGAGCUGUGGUGUAGUUCACAGACACGGCUUGGAUCCCAUAUUGCUGUGGUUGUGGUGUAGGCCAUUGCUGCAGCUCUGAUUCAAUCCCUACCCUGGGAGCUUCCAUAGGCCACAGGCAUGGCCCUGAAAAUUGGGGAAAAAAAAAAUCUGCCUAAAGCUGUGCAGGGAACAAGAAGUGGACUGUCGCAGAACCCAGCAAGCCUGCCUGUUUACACCAACCAUGUCACCACUCGGGAUGUGUGGGGAAUGACAGGCUCAGGAAGGAGGCUACCUGCAGGUAUUUGGAAUACUCCUGGCAGGAACUGACAAGGGCUGUGAACUCAGGCAGCAAAGAAGGAUGGACAGGAGAGGAGGGGUCUGAGAGCCUCAGGGCAGGACAGACAAGCUCCCAGGGAGAGAAUGACCACAGAUGGGGGGAUGGGCCAGGCAUCUGAAGCAGUGGACAGCUUUUGAGCUCGACCACAUGCUGGAGAGAGGUGUCACCACCCACAGACCCUGGGUAAACCUGUGAUGGGGGAGGGGGACAAGGUUCUCCUGGGUACCUGCUGAAUCUGAGAUUCUGCAGGACAUCCAGAUAGAGGCGUCCAGCAGGCGGUCAUGGCCAGAGUCAGACUCAAAGGGAAAAUCUUGCUGGAGGCACAGACUGGGCAGCUGUUAGCACAGGGAGGGUUAGAAGCCUGGAAGCAGAUGGGCUUGUUAAUGGGUCAUGUGUGGGGGAUGAAAAGGAGACUGAAACCAGGGACUGGGGCAUCACAGGCCCGGGCAGCGGGCACACUUGGGUUUGUAACUUUAGAGCUGCCGUAAGAGCAUGGAGAGCAUGGGGAGGCCCCUCUGCAUUGACCCACGUGCCCCCUGUCCCAGUUGGUGGAACACCAUUGGUCAGGGGCUGGGGCGACAGAGGAGACAAGACGACUGACAUCCAUAGAGAAGCAUCAGAAGGGUGGGAAGAACGUGGAAUCCAGGACAAGAGAAAGUUUCCAGACGGCUGGUGUCCGAUGCCUCACAGAGAUCAAAGGAACAGGGCCUGAAAGAUGUAACUGACUUCUGCAGUGGAUAUGGCUGGUGACCUUGGAAAGAGUCAGUCCCUCAAAGAAGUGGAAUCGCCCUGGGCUGCAGCCUGACAGAGCCUCAUGUAUGUGGGCGUGGAGGUGUGCAGACAAACGCCUUGGGAGAGAGAGCAGCCAGGGGGUGCGGGGCCUGGGCUGCUGGGGACCCUGGGGGCCAGUGCACACAUCCAUACCGAGGAAGGGAACGCUGCAGAUGGCCCAGGCCUGGAGGCCCGAGUGACCAGGCAAGAGUCAUUCCCAGCAGGGAGGGCACCUGGGAACAGAGCAGGGCAGCGAGAGGCCCUGGGAAAGCUGGAGCCUGUGGAAAGGAGGCCGCUUGGUGCUGGUCUUGGCCGUGGAGCUGGCACCUGCCAGAAGCGGCAGAGUGACAGGGAGUUCCUGUUGAUGGCAUAAAGUCAGAGUCAGAGUUCAUGCUAUGGACUCGAUAAAACGGGUUCUGGAAACUGACUCUAAGGGUGAAUGAAAGAAAAAGCAGACAUGCAAGUACGCCUGUGGCAAACUGUACAGUAUUAUUUUUAAAAAGCACAUGUGGCUAAGAAUAUGGAAACUGGUUAAGUGAAUUCUGGAACGUUUGCUCAACUGGAUGGAAUGUCAUGAGGUCAUGCAAAUGUUAACUAUGAAGCGUAAAGUGGUUAUGCUGGUAAAUGGAAAAUCAGUUUGAAAAUUGUAUGUAUGCUCUCAUUACAACUAUGGAAAACGUUUUCACGUGAAGAUAUACAUAAUAGAAUCCUGAAAAUUUAUAUGAGCUGUUGGUUGGGGAUAAUGGCAAGGGUACAGAUUUUGUUUUUUCUUUCUCCCUUUGGUUAACUCAGUUUGAAUCUGAAUGCUGCAGCACUGGUUAGAAAAAUAAAAAGCACCCUUGUAUCUAUCUUAUUAGUUAUCAGCCUAUUGAGAGAACACAGCUGAAUAUCUCCUGUGCUCUGAUGGUGUGCAGGCCUAACAGGACAGAGUUCUCGUGAUGCAGGAUUCCUCUGACAUGGAGGUGAGUGUGGAUGGCAGGGCUGUUCCCACCACUGCAACCCCGGUCUCCCUGGUCACCCCAUAGGCCCAAGUGCCCCUGCAUGCUUUCAAUGGAAGAUGCGCUGGCCGAACUCAUUCUCAUAUUCUUAGCCCACCCCCCUGGCUGGGAUGGAGAAGGCAGAGGAGGCGAGCAAGGCCGUCCUGGCCACCCCGUCUAGCACACAGCCAGCGUGGCUCCUGGCUUGGGGUCAGGUCCUUGGGGCCACCCACAUGCUCUCGUUGACUCCCACCGUUCACCCCCAGUCUCAGGGGGUAAUUGAGCACUGCUUUUGGGUCUCGGUCUCUUAAUAUUUGUCUUCCACUAUUUUGAUUUAAAUUCUCUGACACAAUAGAAAAGUUAGACUUAACUGACAUUUUCAGGAUAUCACAUCCAAAAAAAUCAGAACAUACACACAUACUCAAGUGCACACGGAACAUUCUCAAGGACUGACCCCAUAAUGGGCCACAAAACUAACCUCAACAAAUUGAGGGGUAUAGAAAUUAUUUCAAUUAUCUUCUCUGACCACAAUGGCAUGAAACUAGAAAUCAACCACAGGAAAAGAAAGGAGAAAAAAACUGACUACAUGGAGACUAAACAACAUGCUACUAAAAAACCAAGGGGUCAAUGAGGAAAUCGAGAAGGAAAUCAAAAAAUACCUCGAGACAAAUGAUAAAUGAAGACACAACCAUUCAAAAUCUAUGGGAUGCCGCAAAAGCAGUGCUUAGAGGGAAAUUCACAGCAAUACAGGCCUUCCUCAAAAUAAGAAAAAUCUCAAAUUGACAACUUAACUCACCACCUAAAUGAAUCAGAAAAAGAAGAACAAACAAGACCAAAAUCAGCAGAAGGAAGGAAAUUAUAAAGAUCAGAGAGGAAAUUAAUAAAACAGAGAUUCGAAAAUAGGAAAAAAAAUCAAUAAAACUAAGAGCUGGCUUUUUGAAAAGGUAAACAAAAUGGACAAACCUCUGGCCAGACUCACCAAGAAGAGGAGAGAAAAAAACCCAAAUAAACAAAAUAAGAAAUGAUUUAAAUUCUACUCUUCUCCCUUUCUGUAAACUAGCAUUUAGAGAGUUUAUUUAAAGUAUAGUUGAUUUACAAUGCUGUGCUAAUUUCUGUACAGCAAAGUGACCCAGUCUCUCUCUCACACACACAAACACAAAUAGUCUUUUGAUCUCCCCCAUCAUGUUCUAAACCAAGAGACUGGAUAGAGUUCCCUGUGCUGUAGAGCAGAACCUCACUGCUUAUCCAUUCUGAAUUUAAUAGUUUGCGUCUACUAA